Molecule: non-coding RNA, 76 nt
Filed under: Ureibacillus sinduriensis
Lineage: Bacteria; Bacillati; Bacillota; Bacilli; Caryophanales; Caryophanaceae
Also listed under: 1 other name
Description: Lysinibacillus sinduriensis Glycine sequence
Rfam family: Glycine riboswitch aptamer
About the family: This family represents the bacterial glycine riboswitch.
Source: RNAcentral
GGAGCAAUUUCUGGAGAGAUCGCAUUUGCGACGCCGAAGGGUUCACAAUCUCAGGCAAAAGGACAGGAAAGGUAAC